This is a long non-coding RNA of Lathyrus oleraceus (garden pea), 1917 nucleotides long. RefSeq lists it as uncharacterized. The record is from RefSeq and is a predicted model, not a curated record. The transcript has 2 exons. NCBI's taxonomy places the organism in Eukaryota, Viridiplantae, Streptophyta, Magnoliopsida, Fabales, Fabaceae.
CAUAGAAGGUCCAUAGGAGAAUGGAUGUUGGACCGGGUCUAAGGGCCAUUUUUCCUUUCUUUCCCUUCAUGCCAACGUACUCAGUCGAACAAACACAAACGACGCUCAAGCUUCGAUUCCAAAUGCAGAGGUGAUGGCGAGGAUGGUGAAGCCUAGACGGUGCAGGGUGCGAAAGUGACGAGUUCGGCGAAAGCUUAUUCAAGAAUGGAUAAAUGCAUUGAGCUACUUGAACUCAAUUAUUUAUCUUCAACUACACGCGCAAACUCCAUCGUUUUCGGCGUUUCACAAGUGGUGUCAUGAUGCGUCGCAUCUCUUCUUUCAAAGCACGAACCAAGAUGCGGGAAAAGGAAGGCCAAGCCUUCUAAAAUAACAACAAUACAUCUCGUUUAUGCAGCAUCAAGAAGAAGCAGAAGCAAAGCUGGAACAAGCAAACUAACCGUGGCAGAACUUUUGGUUUGAUCAGUAUUAGUUAGCUUCAAACUUCAAUGGUGAAUGAUGAAUGGAGAUUGGAAUCCCUUAGGUGCAGAACAUCAGACAUUGCAAGUGAAAGAGAAAAUAUGUAGAAGGGGAGUUUUUUUGCAGAAUCUUGAGUGAACCGUGAUGAAGCUGGAUCUAGAAUAAAGAUUGAGAGAAAAAUGAUUCUGCCCCUAUGAAUGGUGAUGAGGUUGGGUUUUUAUAGAGCUUAAUUCGGUUAUAAAAUGUAGCUCAAAUGAAAUCCAAAUCCAAGGUUAGUUACAAAUGAAAUAGUUAGUUUGGAAAUUCAGAUUGAAACUCAAAUGAAAUGUUAUUUUGUGAACUGAAAAUACUGCUAUGCCCUUUUUGUGAAAAAACCAAUAGCUGGCUUUGUUAUACUGGUUCUGUUAUCAUUGUUUUGUUUUUAUCCAUUUAGAAUUCUGUUAUAGGUUAGUGCUGAGGAAUUCUGUUAUGAGUUAACUUGAACUAAAUGGUUAUUGGAUACGGUUAACGCAGUUAGCAUUGUGAACUGUUGAAUAGCUAAUUAAAUUCGGAUGAAGCUGGUUAAAUGAUUUUCUACUGGAUUACUGAAUGGCUGUUAGAUUUGUAUGUUAAGGUUAAAUUGAAAGGUGAAGUUUCUGUUGAAAGUAACAUGUGACCCCUUGCUUAUGAGCUUUGACAUCCUGUGAGUUCGUUCGUCCAACAUCUUAUGGAUCUGUGAGCUUCGAAACAAAUUGAUACACAUUAUGAAUUUAUUCGGAAUUCAUUUCUUUGCAGGUAUGGCAUAACCGAUUUGUACUGCAUCUUGAUAUUUAUGCCUACAAAAGCACACUCCUCCCGCCCUUCAAGUCGGUAUUUGCUUGCAAUCAAAUGGUUUGGUGGAUUCAUGUUGGCUGGAUGUUUGUGUUCUGCUGUCCUAGGUUCAGUUUGUGAAUGAAGCUUAGCUGUGAUGAUUUUUGACUUUGUAAUGCAGGUUUGGACAUCAUGGUGUUCAUUGCCAUUCUGACUUUGGUUCAACCUCUUUUUGCUUAGCUUGUUAUGAGUUCUUUUUGUGGCUUGUAGCAUGGUUUGCUUCCUUGUAGUAUGACUCACAUAAGUUCUGAUUUAGGUGAUUGUAAAAUGGCCUUGCUAUGUUUCUAUUCCCAUUCAUGUUUCAUGUUCAUGUAGGUCAUGAUUGGAUGGUUAAACAAACAUGACAUCAAAAUAGGGAUUUGAAGUAUCCAUCUACAAAUGGAAAUCCAAAGAAUCAAGAUGGAAUUUGAAGAUAAUGGUUAGAUUUAGGGUGGAGGCUUAGGAUGAAAAAGAUUUGGUUGACUUUGGUCAAAGUUGACCAAAAAGUAAACGGUUGACCAAAGUCAACCAUUGGUCAUCAUUUUUUUUUUGUAUUUUCUCAUGUAAUGAACAAAUUAUGAAUUGUAAUGAGUGGAAUUGAUAUGAAUGAAAUUGGAUUGACUUUGAAAUGAA